CCUACGGGAGGCAGCAGUAGGGAAUCUUCCACAAUGGACGAAAGUCUGAUGGAGCAACGCCGCGUGAAUGAAGAAGGCCUUCGGGUCGUAAAAUUCUGUUGUCAGAGAAGAACGUGCGUGAGAGUAACUAGUUCACGUAUUGACGGUAUCUGACCAGAAAGCCACGGCUAACUACGUGCCAGCAGCCGCGGUAAUACGUAGGUGCCAGCAGCCGCGGUAAU
RNAcentral lists this ribosomal RNA (221 nucleotides) under uncultured Lactobacillus sp. RNAcentral describes it as "partial 16S ribosomal RNA". It matches the Rfam family "Bacterial small subunit ribosomal RNA", at positions 338 to 537 of the family's 1533-position model. The record is from RNAcentral. Lineage: Bacteria; Bacillati; Bacillota; Bacilli; Lactobacillales; Lactobacillaceae.